RNAcentral lists this ribosomal RNA (450 nucleotides) under uncultured bacterium. RNAcentral describes it as "partial 16S ribosomal RNA". It matches the Rfam family "Bacterial small subunit ribosomal RNA", at positions 354 to 796 of the family's 1533-position model. The record is from RNAcentral.
GUGGGGAAUUUUGGACAAUGGGCGCAAGCCUGAUCCAGCAAUGCCGCGUGCAGGAAGAAGGCCUUAGGGUUGUAAACUGCUUUUGUACGGAAUGAAACGGUCCUGGUUAAUACCUGGGGCUAAUGACGGUACCGUAAGAAUAAGCACCGGCUAACUACGUGCCAGCAGCCGCGGUAAUACGUAGGGUGCGAGCGUUAAUCGGAAUUACUGGGCGUAAAGCGUGCGCAGGCGGUUUUGUAAGACAGGCGUGAAAUCCCCGGGCUCAACCUGGGAAUUGCGCUUGUGACUGCAAGGCUGGAGUGCGGCAGAGGGGGAUGGAAUUCCGCGUGUAGCAGUGAAAUGCGUAGAUAUGCGGAGGAACACCGAUGGCGAAGGCAAUCCCCUGGGCCUGCACUGACGCUCAUGCACGAAAGCGUGGGGAGCAAACAGGAUUAGAAACCCCGGUAGUCC